Homo sapiens (human) is the source of this 529-nucleotide long non-coding RNA. Ensembl annotates it as HRG and FETUB antisense RNA 1. Its record names the gene HRG-AS1. The record is from Ensembl. NCBI's taxonomy places the organism in Eukaryota, Metazoa, Chordata, Mammalia, Primates, Hominidae.
GCCUGGAGUGAAGAUUCUGCCCAUUGGUCAAGAGACCUCCCUCUCAGAUGCUGGCUCUGCCCCUGCCUUUGGGGGUCGACCCUUGUACUCGCAGGACCUUAGGUGACUCUAUUCUACUUCUCUGAUCAUCCAGGAAGCCAACCUGCCUGAGGACGAGUCAUACUCUGUCCUCCCACCCCAGGCCAGAGAGUGGUAUCUGUCUUUCCACAAGUUCUUGAUGCAGAUGAGCAGGUAACCAUGGAAGUCGUGAGCUGAGGCUGCAGAGUCUAGAGCCAGAGUGUGGAAUAAACUUGGGUCUCAAAUCACCCCUGGAGCAAAGCACCCAUCUAAUCAGGAACUUCUACUUUCAACUUUACAUGCGUGAGAAAUGAACUUCUAUCAUGUUAGAAGAAGCAGCUACAACUAAGAAGAAUACGCUUCUUGUCAAGAUGGCACAUAUGCACAGGCUACCGGCUGUCUCCUCCAGUAUCCUGGAAAAACUACAAGAAAACAUGGAUUCCAGGAAACAGUAACUACAGCACAGAAUAUA